RNAcentral lists this long non-coding RNA (2814 nucleotides) under Solanum tuberosum (potato). Its description in RNAcentral is "long non-coding RNA (STUB_LNC004450)". Lineage: Eukaryota; Viridiplantae; Streptophyta; Magnoliopsida; Solanales; Solanaceae. The record is from RNAcentral.
GAUUGACGCGCUAAAGCAACUGACUCAAAAGGAGCUGACUGAUUUCUUUGAUGAAUAUAUUAAAGUCGGUGUUCCUCGGAAGAAGGCCUUAAGUGUCAGAGUCUAUGGAAGCUCACAUUCUUCUCAAUUCCAAGCACAUAAGAAUGAGCAGAUGGAACCAAAUGCAGUUCAGAUAGAAGAAAUAUUUAGCUUUAGACGAUCUCGGCCUCUUUAUAGUUCAUUCAAAGGAGGCUUUGGUCAUGUGAGAUUGUAAGAGGUAAGCAUAGCUGCUCGAGAAGCUCCCCGAUACAGUUGAUAUGUUGGCGAGUCCAUUACUGGAGCAGUUGAUCUGCAAAUUACCUCUCUCGUAUUCAGUUGUGUCAAUUUGUCAGUUGUACGAGGGCUCGUGGUAGACAUGUGAGUUGAAUUGCUCAACUGAUUUGAUGAUGGACUGCUUAGAGAUUUGGAGAAGUAAAUGUAGACUGUGACAUUAAUUUCUGUUUUGAUUGCUGAAUAUAAUUGAUCAGAAGACAAGAAGUGACAUGAAUGAAACCUGAAAGGGAAAUUAUUCAUUCAUUGAUUUGAUGGGAUGAAUAAACUACAAUAUAAUUCAGUUUUUUUUGUGACUUAAAUCUUCUUGAUGUUACUAGUGUAUUAGGCAAACUUAUCAGGUGAUCUUUUUCUAUAUGUCCAAAUUUUAAUGGAUAGAAUUAUUUGGUAUUUGUGUUGAUGGGAGGUAGUAGGUGCCUCAUAGAAUUAGUCGGAAGUGUACAAGCUGGUUCGAGCACUACAGUUAUUAAAAAAAGUUGUUUGAUAGAUAUUCAUAUGUGAUGUUAGCUUUAUGAGAUUAUAAAGAUAAACAUGUAAUUGAGUAUUUUCUCUUUUUUCAUGAUGGUAGUAUUUAGAUUAGUUUACGUGCAUUUCACUGAGUCCUCCAUUUAGUGGCAAAAUCAGAAUUAUCACCGAGAGAGUCAAAAUAUGAAGAAGUAAAUAUAUCAAAAAACUAAAAAAGUUCAACAUCCAUCAUAUGUACGCAUAAAAAAUAAUUUAAACUACACAUAAAUAGUAUAAUAUUUUGUUGAUUAACCACCCCCUUCGGCCUUACCUUGCUCCACCUUGUCUCUACCUCCCACCAACAUAUGUAUUAAGUAAAUGCCCAAUCUUUAAUCUUUCAUAUAUAGUAGUCUUCAAAGCCUAUUUAGCUUCACCCUUGCCUCUACCUUCCACCAACAUACAUAACAAGUAACUUUAUUAAAAUUUAUAAGGAAAAAGGGUCAAAAAUCCCCUUAAACUAUGUGAAAGGGACAAAAAUGUCAUUCGUUUAUAGUUUGACUUAAAAAUGCCCUUGUAAUCAAUAUUUUGGUUCAAAAAUGUCCUUGCAAUCAAUACUUUGGUCCAGAAAUGUCCCUAUAGUUACUAAAUGGGUCAAAAAUGCCUUUUCGAAUAAAUAUAUUAUUUUUUUUCUUUUUAAAUAUAUCUUCUUCCUAAUUAACAUAUUAUAAAAGAACAUUGUUCUUGUUUUUUUUAAAAAAAAAUCACUUUAAACAAAUAAAAAUGUAGGAUUUUUUUUUCUUAAUCUCAUUUUAUCAAUUAAAAUAGAAUAACUUCAUCUACCCUUUCGACAGAUAAUAUAUGUCAUGUAUAUAAGAUCGUUGUAUAUCCAUCAUAAAAAAUAAUUAUAAUAAAACAAGAAAUAUUUUCAUUUUUUAUUUUUUUUUCUGAAUUGAAGUAAGAUAAAUAUUUGCUAAUUUAAAAAAUAUUAUUAGAAAAAGAAUGUAUUAAAAAAGAAAAUAAAUUAUAUUAUUUUAUUUGGAAAAUAAGCAAUUUUGACUUAUUAAAUAACAAUAAGGACAUUUUUGGAUCAGAGUAUUGACGACAAGGACAUUUUUGGACCAAACUACAAACGAAAGACAUAUUUGUUCCUUUCGCAUAGUUUAAGGACAUUUUGACCCUUUUCCCUUUCAUAAAUAAUAUAAUUUGUUAUCGAUAAAACCCCUUCAACCUUAUUUAGCUCCACCUAUCCCAACCUCUCACCAACAUAUUACCAAGUAAUUCUAUCCAUUCUUUUUCUUUUUUCUUUAUUGAGAGGAUGACUUGCCUAAGGAAUUGAAAAUUGAGGGAUGACUUUUCACCCUCAUGGACCACACACUAUAGUAACCUUUUUUGUCAAAUUUUGCUACUUAUCACAUUCCUAGACCAAAUGCCAAGUCUUCUAUUACUUGAUUAAAAAGUCAAGCAUUUAGUGGUUAAUAAAGUGAAUUAAAAUAUCGUAAAAUUUUGGGUUUAAAUUUAACAAACACAACAAUAUUAUGCGAUUUUUUUAAUUUGUUUUAGAUGCAAUUAGUUGUUGCCGAUGAAAGGUGACCCGUGGAAUUAGACGAGAAAUAUAAAAUAAAAUAAAAAAAACAAGAUGACUAGGCAUAGACUUGGACCCCUGUCAAUUUCCCUCCUUGAGGACAUUAUUCAACAUUUGCAGGCUAAGUUUGCACACUUUAACAUGCAAGACUAAACAAGUCUCACUCUAUCAGUAUUACGAAAAUUUUCUCUGUAACUGCAGAUUUUAUUAAUCCAAGUUGAAAUUUUGAACAUACCCUUUACUUUCUUUUGCUGUAUUUCAGUGAUUCUUGAAAUACCCAUUUCAGAUUUUGGACUUAAAUCGUGUUUUUUGAGCUAUUGAGAUUUGGGGUUGUUUAAUUUUGCGAGAAAAUGGCUGUGGGCAAAGCAAAUGAACCUGUAGAGAUCUUUAAGGCUCGUUCAGAUAAGAGGGAGUAUAGAAGAAUAGUUCUGCAGAACUCUCUUGAAGUUCUACUAAUCAGUGAUCCUGAAACAGACAAG